This is a long non-coding RNA of Toxorhynchites rutilus septentrionalis, 530 nucleotides long. RefSeq lists it as uncharacterized. The transcript is spliced from 4 exons. NCBI's taxonomy places the organism in Eukaryota, Metazoa, Arthropoda, Insecta, Diptera, Culicidae. The record is from RefSeq and is a predicted model, not a curated record.
GCUUUAGGGUGAUGAUCGAGGCGGUUGGGAAAUUUUUAACUUUUGAGAAAUAUUCAUUUAAAGGUUUUCAGGCUUUUCAGGUUGAGGUUACGGGAUGACGUCAUAUGCGAACUAUAUAAGCUAUGAGAAAUCUUGGAUACGUGGACGGAUAAUAAUAGAAUGGAAUUCAAAUUUUAUCUUAUGUUUAGACUGGAAUGAUGAUAACAUCAGAUUAAAAAGGAUUUCUUCGAUUGAAUGACAUAGUUUAUUCUUGAACUUCUCUUGGCUUUCAUCGCUCGACGAGGCACUUGCUGUCCUAAUUAAAUAAUGCCGUAAUCUUGAGAUAAGCGCUCGGUCAAAUUUCUUCCUCAAACAUUCUGCUAUUGAGCAGACGUUGGACUCAAUAGUUCUUGAUUCAUCUUUAAUGCUAUGCUCACGGGGGUCGAUGGUUUGUCGUCUGAGACGUAACUCGAAAUUAAUUUCAUCCUCAGUGAGAUGAUCCGCUACCGGUAAAAUAUAAGGACCACUCAUUUUAUAGACUUUAAAAUUCA